Molecule: microRNA, 22 nt
Filed under: Mus musculus (house mouse)
Lineage: Eukaryota; Metazoa; Chordata; Mammalia; Rodentia; Muridae
Description: mmu-miR-7681-3p
Source: miRBase by way of RNAcentral
AGAAAGGGCACUGACAGGAUAG